Molecule: ribosomal RNA, 494 nt
Filed under: uncultured bacterium
Lineage: Bacteria
Description: partial 16S ribosomal RNA
Rfam family: Bacterial small subunit ribosomal RNA
Source: RNAcentral
ACGAACGCUGGCGGCGUGCCUAAUACAUGCAAGUAGAACGCUGAAGGAGGAGCUUGCUUCUCUGGAUGAGUUGCGAACGGGUGAGUAACGCGUAGGUAACCUGCCUGGUAGCGGGGGAUAACUAUUGGAAACGAUAGCUAAUACCGCAUAAGAGUAGAUGUUGCAUGACAUUUGCUUAAAAGGUGCAAUUGCAUCACUACCAGAUGGACCUGCGUUGUAUUAGCUAGUUGGUGGGGUAACGGCUCACCAAGGCGACGAUACAUAGCCGACCUGAGAGGGUGAUCGGCCACACUGGGACUGAGACACGGCCCAGACUCCUACGGGAGGCAGCAGUAGGGAAUCUUCGGUAAUGGACGGAAGUCUGACCGAGCAACGCCGCGUGAGUGAAGAAGGUUUUCGGAUCGUAAAGCUCUGUUGUAAGAGAAGAACGAGUGUGAGAGUGGAAAGUUCACACUGUGACGGUAUCUUACCAGAAAGGGACGGCUAACUACGUG